Long non-coding RNA from Lotus japonicus, 1104 nucleotides. RefSeq lists it as uncharacterized. The transcript is spliced from 5 exons. The record is from RefSeq and is a predicted model, not a curated record. NCBI's taxonomy places the organism in Eukaryota, Viridiplantae, Streptophyta, Magnoliopsida, Fabales, Fabaceae.
AAUUAUCCACUACUUACUAUGUGGCAUCGUCCAUGUUGCAUUUAAUCCCUUAAUCUUUAUAGUUCAACUUUUGCAUUUAAUCCUUGCUCGAUUCCCAUACUCCAUCUCUCGAUACGCCGCUUAUCUGCCCAAUGGUCUCAUCCUUCUCCGACUUCCUCUGCUCCCAACCCGAGCCACAACCUGCGAUCCGCACCGCGACCGCCCCCUUCGACUUCCUCUCCGACUGACGUUUCAAAUGCACUGGAGCACUUACUCUCCAAGGUUAGCGAUCUCAUGAUCUGGGCUCUUCGCAAGGCUUUUCCAUGGCAGAUUUAUGAAGGAGACAUUCGAGACACCUUGAAAGCAAGAAUAUGAGUUGAAAUGAAGGGAACCUGCUCCACUUCAAGUUUAAAUUGGGCAUGGGUGGAUUGAAGAGCUUGAUGAAGCAGAUAGUAUGUACUAAGGACAUGAUGGAAAUGUUUGGUGGUGGUUUAUGAGCUAUGAGUUGUUUUUAAUCACUACUAUGUCCGCAUUUGAUUUGGAUGUUUUUCAAUUUAUACAAACCUUAAACGAAUGGAAUUGUCUAUUUCAGGUUUACAAAUUUAUGAAUCAGUGUAACACCAAAAAUUCUUUAUGACUUAGAUCUCUACAUUGAAAAUGGAAAGAGGAGAAUAUGAGCCAAACGAUCUCUGCACUAUUGAGCAAUCUGAGCCACAUGCAGGACUUUCAUGCACCAGUUAUACUCUAAUGUGAGAUGAUGAGUCUUAAUCCACAAAUUUAAGAGAACCUUCUUCUAGAUGAAGAAAGAGAUCAUUAAACUCUUUUGUAGUUGUUUUGGUGGAACCUGCUAAGGGAGAAAGACCCGGGGGGAAAGAGUCUGAAUUGAAGCAGCAUCACAAAGUGUCGUUGAAGAAUAUGACUGCAGCAUUUGGGGUUCCAACCUUUCUUGAUCAUAUUCAUCAUAUAUUUCUCCUAACCUCCUCAAUUUGGCAGUGGCUGUGUUCGCUUUAUUUUAAUUAGUUUUCAAAAUUUAGGUGAGUUGGGCAGUUAUGAUUUGUUGUGAUUGCUUAUUGUUAAGUUUUAUGACUUUAUUUUUAAUGUAAAUUUGGUUUUAUUUGUUGUCUA